UACGAAGGGGGCUAGCGUUGCUCGGAAUCAUUGGGCGUAAAGAGCGUGUAGGCGGUCCGGUAAGUCCGCUGUGAAAGUCGGGGGCUCAACCCUCGAAUGCCGGUGGAUACUGUCGGGCUUGAGUACGGAAGAGGCGAGUGGAAUUCCUGGUGUAGCGGUGAAAUGCGCAGAUAUCAGGAGGAACACCUAUUGCGAAGGCAGCUCGCUGGGACGUUACUGACGCUGAGACGCGAAAGCGUGGGGAGCAAACAGG
Molecule: ribosomal RNA, 253 nt
Filed under: uncultured bacterium
Lineage: Bacteria
Description: partial 16S ribosomal RNA
Rfam family: Bacterial small subunit ribosomal RNA
Source: RNAcentral